CGGGUGAGUAACACGUGGAUAACCUACCUAUAAGACUGGGAUAACUUCGGGAAACCGGAGCUAAUACCGGAUAAUAUUUUGAACCGCAUGGUUCAAAAGUGAAAGACGGUCUUGCUGUCACUUAUAGAUGGAUCCGCGCUGCAUUAGCUAGUUGGUAAGGUAACGGCUUACCAAGGCAACGAUGCAUAGCCGACCUGAGAGGGUGAUCGGCCACACUGGAACUGAGACACGGUCCAGACUCCUACGGGAGGCAGCAGUAGGGAAUCUUCCGCAAUGGGCGAAAGCCUGACGGAGCAACGCCGCGUGAGUGAUGAAGGUCUUCGGAUCGUAAAACUCUGUUAUUAGGGAAGAACAUAUGUGUAAGUAACUGUGCACAUCUUGACGGUACCUAAUCAGAAAGCCACGGCUAACUACGUGCCAGCAGCCGCGGUAAUACGUAGGUGGCAAGCGUUAUCCGGAAUUAUUGGGCGUAAAGCGCGCGUAGGCGGUUUUUUAAGUCUGAUGUGAAAGCCCACGGCUCAACCGUGGAGGGUCAUUGGAAACUGGAAAACUUGAGUGCAGAAGAGGAAAGUGGAAUUCCAUGUGUAGCGGUGAAAUGCGCAGAGAUAUGGAGGAACACCAGUGGCGAAGGCGACUUUCUGGUCUGUAACUGACGCUGAUGUGCGAAAGCGUGGGGAUCAAACAGGAUUAGAUACCCUGGUAGUCCACGCCGUAAACGAUGAGUGCUAAGUGUUAGGGGGUUUCCGCCCCUUAGUGCUGCAGCUAACGCAUUAAGCA
RNAcentral lists this ribosomal RNA (777 nucleotides) under Staphylococcus aureus. Its description in RNAcentral is "bacterial SSU rRNA". It matches the Rfam family "Bacterial small subunit ribosomal RNA", at positions 103 to 866 of the family's 1533-position model. The record is from RNAcentral. Lineage: Bacteria; Bacillati; Bacillota; Bacilli; Caryophanales; Staphylococcaceae.